Molecule: ribosomal RNA, 494 nt
Filed under: uncultured bacterium
Lineage: Bacteria
Description: bacterial SSU rRNA
Rfam family: Bacterial small subunit ribosomal RNA
Source: RNAcentral
GACGAACGCUGGCGGCGUGCUUAACACAUGCAAGUCGAGCGAGGCCCGCUCUUCGGGGUGGUGCCCUAGCGGCGAACGGGUGAGUAACACGUGGGCAACCUGCCCUCAGCUCUGGGAUAACUCCAAGAAAUUGGUGCUAAUACCGGAUGUGACCGCUGACCGCAUGGUCUGGUGGUGGAAAGAUUCAUCGGCUGAGGAUGGGCCCGCGGCCUAUCAGCUGUUGGUGGGGUCACGGCCCACCAAGGCGACGACGGGUAGCCGGCCUGAGAGGGUGACCGGCCACACUGGGACUGAGAAACGGCCCAGACUCCUACGGGAGGCAGCAGUGGGGAAUCUUGCGCAAUGGCCUAACGGCUGACGCAGCGACGCCGCGUGAGGGAUGAAGCUCCUCGGAGUGUAAACCUCUGUUGCCCGGGACGAAUAGCGGAUUUUUCCGACUUGACGGUACCGGGUGAGGAAGCACCGGCUAACUCCGUGCCAGCCGCCGCUGUAAU